ACGCUCGACACCUACGGAAGGCAGCAGUCGGGAAUAUUGCGCAAUGGAGGAAACUCUGACGCAGUGACGCCGCGUAUGGGAAGAAGGUUUUCGGAUUGUAAACCAUUUUAGACAAGGAAGAAACAAGACAGUACUUGUAGAAUAAGCUCCGGCUAACUACGUGCAGCAGCCGCGGUAAUCUGAGCGGGCUGGCAAGGC
Molecule: ribosomal RNA, 198 nt
Filed under: uncultured bacterium
Lineage: Bacteria
Description: partial 16S ribosomal RNA
Rfam family: Bacterial small subunit ribosomal RNA
Source: RNAcentral